GACGAACGCUGGCGGCGUGCUUAACACAUGCAAGUCGAACGGAAAGGCCCUGCUUUUGUGGGGUGCUCGAGUGGCGAACGGGUGAGUAACACGUGAGUAACCUGCCCUUGACUUUGGGAUAACUUCAGGAAACUGGGGCUAAUACCGGAUAGGAGCUCCUGCUGCAUGGUGGGGGUUGGAAAGUUUCGGCGGGUGGGGAUGGACUCGCGGCUUAUCAGCUUGUUGGUGGGGUAGUGGCUUACCAAGGCUUUGACGGGUAGCCGGCCUGAGAGGGUGACCGGCCACAUUGGGACUGAGAUACGGCCCAGACUCCUACGGGAGGCAGCAGUGGGGACUAUUGCACAAUGGGCGGAAGCCUGAUGCAGCAACGCCGCGUGCGGGAUGACGGCCUUCGGGUUGUAACCCGCUUUCGCCUGUGACGAAGCGUGAGUGACGGUAAUGGGUAAAGAAGCACCGGCUAACUACGUG
RNAcentral lists this ribosomal RNA (468 nucleotides) under uncultured bacterium. Its description in RNAcentral is "partial 16S ribosomal RNA". It matches the Rfam family "Bacterial small subunit ribosomal RNA", at positions 28 to 507 of the family's 1533-position model. The record is from RNAcentral.